UAGGGAAUAUUGGACAAUGGGUGAGAGCCUGAUCCAGCCAUGCCGCGUGCAGGAAGAAGGCGUUAUGCGUUGUAAACUGCUUUUGCCAGGGGAUAAAAAGACUCUGCGGAGUUUAUUGAAGGUACCUGGUGAAUAAGCCACGGCUAACUACGUGCCAGCAGCCGCGGUAAUACGUAGGUGGCAAGCGUUGUCCGGAUUUAUUGGGUUUAAAGGGUGCGUAGGCGGCCCUGUAAGUCAGUGCUGAAAUAUCCCGGCUUAACCGGGAGGGUGGCAUUGAUACUGCAGGGCUUGAGUACAGAUGAAGUAGGCGGAAUUGACGGUGUAGCGGUGAAAUGCAUAGAUAUCGUCAAGAACACCGAUAGCGAAGGCAGCUUACUAGACUGUAACUGACGCUGAGGCGCGAAAGCAUGGGUAGCAAACGGGAUUAGAUACCCCUGUAGUCCCUGAGCGGGCUGGCAAGGCGCAU
This 466-nucleotide ribosomal RNA is filed under the name uncultured bacterium. RNAcentral describes it as "bacterial SSU rRNA". It matches the Rfam family "Bacterial small subunit ribosomal RNA", at positions 355 to 825 of the family's 1533-position model. The record is from RNAcentral.